AGUGAGAUAAUUUAAGCCCUUAAAAUAAGAGGUUGUGGUCCUUUUAAUGGGAGAUGACCUCUCUCUCAUUG
RNAcentral lists this transfer RNA (71 nucleotides) under Lens contradens. RNAcentral describes it as "tRNA-His". Lineage: Eukaryota; Metazoa; Mollusca; Bivalvia; Unionida; Unionidae. The record is from RNAcentral.